Molecule: long non-coding RNA, 1770 nt
Organism: Oncorhynchus kisutch (coho salmon)
Lineage: Eukaryota; Metazoa; Chordata; Actinopteri; Salmoniformes; Salmonidae
Source: Ensembl
CCACCCUUCCUCUCCCCAUCCCUUCUUCCACUCUCUCCCUCCACUACUCUGCUGCAAUCCCUCCCUCCUCUUAAACAUCACAAAAUCCCCUCCUAUCCCAAUCCAGCCCUCUCUCCCUCCCUCUCCAUUUAUCUUUCCCUCCCUCUCUCUCUCCCCUUCAUCUCACCUCUAGCCACUCAGCGCUCUCUCUCCCUCUUCAGCAGCACUGCCCGCUCUCUUUCUCUUUCUACCUUUCUUUAUUUCUCUGUCUGUCUCUCUUUUUUUUCUCUCCUCCUUUCUUUGGCUCACAGAAGGUUCCCAGGCUCCUGGUCCGUCCGUCUGUCCCUCUGCCCGUCCGACGAUCCCACUGAAGCUCUAGCACCAACCGGGACACAGACUCUCACAAAGGAUCCUCUAUCCUCCUCUACUCCGCACACAGGGCUGUGUGGACUCAAGCCUCAGCGGCCAUCAAAACCCAUCAGACUCAUCCUGGACAGGCCUGGCUGCCACUCACAUUAUACUAAAGGAAACAGGAAUCCUCUUCAUACACAUAGACAAACACGCAUUGACUAGUGGAAUGCAGUCAUAUUCAGACUGUACAUGAAGGUACAAGAGUUAAAUACCAAAAGAGAAUGUCCCAUCCCUGCCCAUCUGGCACUCAAUCAAACAAUCUUAGAAUAUUUGUGUGUGGGGGGGGGGGCAAUUUCAACCAUAGGAAGCUGGUGGACAAAUAAAUGGGAGGAUAGGCUCAUUGUAAUGGUUGGAAUGGAAAAAAAAUGGAAUGGUAUCAAAAACAUUUGUUGGGAGUUGUUCCCAUGUGGUGAAUGGAUGCUGAGUUCAGAGUUGUUCAGAGUACUCCUGCCCCGCUGCUGAUAUGAGGUUUGUCUCAUAUAUUGGGUGUUAGGCUCUGAGACUACAAGGCAGCAACAGGCCAGUCAGCAGUGUGCUGCGUUGCCUACCUACUCCUUCACCCACUAAUACUACUACUCUGCAUUGGCACGCCCCCAAGCUAUCAGUCAGUCAUCCAGGAGGAGGAAAAACAUGCCCAAGCAGCAAAGGGAGAUGGAAGGAUGAAGGGAGAGAUGGAGGGAGACGGAAGGAGGAAGCAAGAGAGAUGGAGGGUGGAUGGAGGGAUGCAAUGAAGGAAGAGAGAUGGAGGGAGGAUGUACGAGAGAUGGAGGGAUGAAAGAGGAAGAGAUAGUGGGGUGAAGGGAGGAUGGAGAGAGGAAGAGCACUACGGACUUUCAUAAAUCCUUCACUGCCAGGGAAUUACCGUAAACUGGAAAGACCUUAUCGUUUAAUUUUUUUGACCCAUAAUCCCAGAUUAUGUAUGUUUAUAGGGAUCACAUGUCAUGGUGUCAUUACCAAUAAAGGCAAAUCAAACGUCCCAUCUCAAGACCCACCAAAUCAAAUCAAAUAGCAGUGGAAUAACAUAACAGGAGCACCAAAAUAUAAACAAUACUGGCAAUACCGAAACCUAUUUAAAUCCAAGUCAAGCACUGCACGACAGUGAUGGAAUGGUCUGAGUGUUAUCGGAAAUACUGUCUCUUAAAAUAAAAUGGAGUAGUUAACAUAAUAAAAAACAUCCCCACCAACACCCGUCUGUUUAAGCUAGAGAUAUCUGUUUUUUGUUGUUGUAUGGGCUGCGUCUCAAUCCACCACAUCCACCGAUGUCAGCCUUCCACAUCUACGGUGGAAAGUGGCAGAGCUACGGCUCUGUUUGUCAGACCAGGAGACGUCCCAAAAAUCGAUCCUCUCGCGAAAAUGUCUGUAGCGUCAGAACUGUUUGGC